Molecule: ribosomal RNA, 406 nt
Filed under: uncultured bacterium
Lineage: Bacteria
Description: partial 16S ribosomal RNA
Rfam family: Bacterial small subunit ribosomal RNA
Source: RNAcentral
AUUGAACGCUGGCGGCAGGCCUAACACAUGCAAGUCGAACGAGUGGCGGACGGGUGAGUAAUGUCUGGGAAACUGCCCGAUGGAGGGGGAUAACUACUGGAAACGGUAGCUAAUACCGCAUACCAUCGGAUGUGCCCAGAUGGGCUUAGCUAGUAGGUGGGGUAACGGCUCACCUAGGCCACGAUCCCUAGCUGGUCUGAGAGGAUGACCAGUCAGACUGGAACUGAGACACGGUCCAGAUUCCUACGUGAGGCAGCAGUGGGGAAUAUUGCACCAGGGGCGCAAGCCUGAUACAGCCAUGCCGUGUGUAUUAAUAAGGCCUUCGGGUUGUAAAGUACUUUCAGCGAGGAGGCGUUACUCGCAGAAGAAGCACCGGCUAACUCCGUGCCAGCAGCCGCGUUAAUAC